This 236-nucleotide ribosomal RNA is filed under the name uncultured Actinomycetales bacterium. RNAcentral's name for it is "partial 16S ribosomal RNA". It matches the Rfam family "Bacterial small subunit ribosomal RNA", at positions 97 to 334 of the family's 1533-position model. The record is from RNAcentral. Lineage: Bacteria; Bacillati; Actinomycetota; Actinomycetes; Actinomycetales.
GGCGAACGGGUGAGUAACACGUGAGUAACCUGCCCUUGACUUUGGGAUAACUUCAGGAAACUGGGGCUAAUACCGGAUAGGAGCUCCUGCUGCAUGGUGGGGGUUGGAAAGUUUCGGCGGUUGGGGAUGGACUCGCGGCUUAUCAGCUUGUUGGUGGGGUAGUGGCUUACCAAGGCUUUGACGGGUAGCCGGCCUGAGAGGGUGAUCGGCCACACUGGAACUGAGACACGGUCCAG